RNAcentral lists this ribosomal RNA (700 nucleotides) under uncultured bacterium. RNAcentral describes it as "bacterial SSU rRNA". It matches the Rfam family "Bacterial small subunit ribosomal RNA", at positions 8 to 682 of the family's 1533-position model. The record is from RNAcentral.
AGAGUUUGAUCAUGGCUCAGAACGAACGCUGGCGGCGUGCCUAACACAUGCAAGUCGAGGGAGAAAAGGGGCUUCGGCUCCCCAGUAAACCGGCGCACGGGUGAGUAACACGUAGGUAACGUACCCUGGAGUCCGGGAUAACCAGUCGAAAGACUGGCUAAUACCGGAUACGACCACGAAGGCUCCGGCCUUUGUUGUGAAAAAUGGCCUCUGUUUACAUGCUAUCACUCCUGGAUCGGCCUGCGCACCAUUAGCUAGUUGGUGAGGUAAUGGCUCACCAAGGCUGAGAUGGUUAGCUGGUCUGAGAGGAUGGCCAGCCACACUGGGACUGAGACACGGCCCAGACUCCUACGGGAGGCAGCAGUGGGGAAUAUUGCGCAAUGGGGGAAACCCUGACGCAGCGACGCCGCGUGGGUGAUGAAGGCCUUCGGGUCGUAAAGCCCUGUCGGGAGGGAAGAAACAGUCCGGGCCUAAUACGUCCGGGCAUUGACGGUACCUCCUAAGGAAGCACCGGCUAACUCCGUGCCAGCAGCCGCGGUAAUACGGAGGGUGCUAGCGUUGUUCGGAAUCACUGGGCGUAAAGGGCGUGUAGGCGGCUUGCUAAGUCUGAUGUGAAAUCCCCUCGCUCAACGAGGGAACUGCGUCGGAUACUGGCAAGCUUGAGUACCGGAGAGGAAGGUGGAAUUCCCGGUGUAGCGGU